AUGAACGCUGGCGGCGUGCCUAAUACAUGCAAGUCGCGCGAACGGACGAGAAGCUUGCUUCUCUGAUGUUAGCGGCGGACGGGUGAGUAACACGUGGAUAACCUACCUAUAAGACUGGGAUAACUUCGGGAAACCGGAGCUAAUACCGGAUAAUAUUUUGAACCGCAUGGUUCAAAAGUGAAAGACGGUCUUGCUGUCACUUAUAGAUGGAUCCGCGCUGCAUUAGCUAGUUGGUAAGGUAACGGCUUACCAAGGCAACGAUGCAUAGCCGACCUGAGAGGGUGAUCGGCCACACUGGAACUGAGACACGGUCCAGACUCCUAAGGGAGGCAGCAGUAGGGAAUCUUCCGCAAUGGGCGAAAGCCUGACGGAGCAACGCCGCGUGAGUGAUGAAGGUCUUCGGAUCGUAAAACUCUGUUAUUAGGGAAGAACAUAUGUGUAAGUAACUGUGCACAUCUUGACGGUACCUAAUCAGAAAGCCACGGCUAACUACGUG
Molecule: ribosomal RNA, 496 nt
Filed under: uncultured bacterium
Lineage: Bacteria
Description: partial 16S ribosomal RNA
Rfam family: Bacterial small subunit ribosomal RNA
Source: RNAcentral